GAUUCUUGCUGAAAAGGCCAACCUGACUGACUGAUCAGGGGUGGGUGUGGGGGAGUUAAAUUGUCUAAAAGGAACAGAAACUGUUGGAAGAAUUUCAAAGGUCUUUCUUUAAAAUGGAAAUCAUAUCAUAUAUUAAACCUUAGAAGAGUUGUGUGUAUGUGUGUGUGUGUGUGUGUGUGUGUGUGCACCAAGUUGUGCACAUAGAAUAUAAUUCAAUUUUAUCAGCUAUUUCCCUUUUGGUUUCAAGAGGAGGAUACAUAGGCACAUCCAAACAGCCAGCCUUUGGAUAAUCUGUAUGAUGAUAGGGUUAAAGGAGGAGCGUUGAUGGCUCUUAUGCUUCUGAAUGCCUCAUUUUACGCUUUCAGCAUAGGAGGAAGAGAGUGAAGAGUAGCAAGGGCCAUUGGUGAGUUCUCUGUGGCCAAGUGUCUCAAGGAACUAUGGCUGCUGCUGACUUGCCAAAGGGAUAUUCAUUGGCUAAGUGCUUACUGCUUUGAAUGAAUCCCAGGUCACAGUGGGAAGAUGUCUCUGCCUUCCAUGAACCAUAUUAGAUGUGGCAUUUGGCAUCGCAUCAGCAAAAACAUAUCUACUGGAGCACACUCAGAUUGGCCAAGAAAAUCCUUGGAACAUGGCUGUGGCAUGUUCACUAAAACAGACCCACAGUAACUCUAUCAGGGGUCCAUAUGGUGCGCCAAAUGUCAACUCUAAAGGGAAAAGAGCAGUGUGCAGGAGCAGCAUUGAAAGCAAAAGGGCUUGGCAAGUAGGUCUGAUUUGGGAGGUGAGGAAUAAGACCAUCUCCCACUCUUUUUUCAAGGCGACACUCAACGAUUAAAGUUAUUUAUGAGUUGAAUGUGAGAAGCGCAUAGCCAAAGCACAAAACAGAGCAGGCUUUGUUUUGAAUACAUGAUCCUUGCAAACUAAAACAUUUAUUACAGCAGUAGCUUUCAUGGACCAGAAUCUACUUCAUCAGAUACUAGGGGUGGAGGGAAAUUGUUUCCUUUGCUUUUGCAAUGAACUGACCUCAGCCAAUGCUCCUGGGCUGGUUGGAGGAUCAGAACACAACACCCACUCAGAUUGUGCACAUCUCUGCGCCAACCUUGCUUGCUGCCUCAUGCUUUCCUCCUUCCUUCUGGUAAGUCACAGCAGUGCUGGUGACAGGAGUGACAAGAAGUCAGGUAAAUGCCACAGUAUCACUGAAGCUUGGGAGACAGGUCAGCAGUACACAAACAAAACAUUUGAAGAAAGCCCUUUUCCUAAGGUGAUCCAGCCUGUUGAACUCAAGUAUCCCGGAAACAAGGCCAAUACCCAUUUCAGCAGUUCUGUUUUAUUAUAUUCUCUCUUGCAUGGUUUGCUGGUCAAAAGGCCCUUGUCUGUUACUUCAGAAUCUAAGGACACACAAAAAGAGGUUUAUAUAAAACCACAUUUGUAAUUAUGAUCUUGAUGCUCUUUAAAGCCUGCAAGACUAUAAUGAAACUCAGAUGCUCAGCUUGACAGGUAUUUGCUAUAAUGGAAUCCCAGGGGACCUGCUGACAGCUACCUGCCAUAAAAUUCAAGUCUACAUUUACCAUCAAAAAGGUUUCUCUGUCACUGUGAAUUAAUGCAUUUAGGGCAUAUAGAUAGUCUCAGUUUUGUGAAUGGGGCUCAUUCAUCUGGAAAUGAAUUAAACCUGGGAACAAAGAAUUUUCAAAGUAGCUGAGAAAUUCCACUUCAGGUACUCUCUAAGGAAAUAAAUGAGUAGUUCUACCUGCAAGCAGAAAUGACAAAUCAGCUUGGAGUGGUGCCAUUUUUCACAAGGCACAGAUGUGCCAGAAAAACUAGAGAGGGCAAAUUAAAAACAAAACAAGCCUUAACAUUUCAUUUGAAGCAGGUACUAAAAAGUGGCGAAUCCGUAUCGUGUUUUCUUACAGAAAUGGCUUUGUGGGCACACCAAUCGUUCAGUUGUGUGAUCAAAUAGCUCACUCCCAAAUCAUAAAUAUAUCACUAAUUUAGCCUGCAACAUAUGAGGAACACCCCUCUCAUGCUAGGAUCUAUUCCUAAUUGACUUUAUUUUGGAAGGUCAGCAUAUAUCUUUCUUCACACUGACCAAGAGUCAGUUUUCAUAGCCAAAAGAAUAAGAGGAAGGCAAUGAAGAUGGUCUGAAGUAUGGAAAACAAGUCCUACAAUGAAAGGAUGAAGGAACUGAGCGUGUUUAACCUGGAGAAGAGAAGAUUGAUGGGUGAUAUGAUAGCACUCUCCAUUGGAAGAAAUUUAUUGUAGUCAGGAACAGUAUGUAGGGAGGCUGAGGUUGAAGAGGCAGAACUGAAUGCAAAUGACUUUGAAGGCAAAAAAGAGUAGGGUAUUAGCAUGUUACAUUCAAUGAAUGUACCAUCUGUGCACAUGAAGAGUUGAGACAUACACUUGUCCCGCUAUUCACAUGUAAUGAUAAUCAAGUGCACAGUCUGCUACCUGUGUGCAUAGUAGCUGACUUGUGAAGGUAAAGGAGCCUUGACAGUUAAGUCCGGUCGCAGACGACUCUGGGGUUGAGGUGCUCAUCUUGCUUUACAGGCUGAGGGAGCCAGCGUUUUUUAAAAAAAUAAUAUUUAUUACUUUCCAACAAAUUGAACAUAC
This is a non-coding RNA of Podarcis lilfordi (Lilford's wall lizard), 2604 nucleotides long. The record is from the annotation of a GenBank genome assembly. NCBI's taxonomy places the organism in Eukaryota, Metazoa, Chordata, Lepidosauria, Squamata, Lacertidae.